This is a long non-coding RNA of Esox lucius (northern pike), 2276 nucleotides long. NCBI's taxonomy places the organism in Eukaryota, Metazoa, Chordata, Actinopteri, Esociformes, Esocidae. The record is from Ensembl.
GGACCAUUAAUGAUUGGAGUUUGCCAACCUACGUCGUAUGGGACAGUGAGCACUGAGCACGCUGUUCACGUCAUCAUCGCUGUGAGCUUCGACUUGUUAGGAGAUGAAUCGUCGGGCCUCUACAGUACGUGACCCUGGCCACACGGCUGCACAGACAGGCCCUGUGGUGGGCCUCUAACUUCGACAUUCCACCAUGACAGAAGCCAAAACAUGUGUUCUUCAUACAGCCGGAGAAUCUUGUGUUCACAGUGAGGGGUAGGCUGGGAGAAAAGGUAUAUUGUCGAGACUGAUGAAGAACUUUGCCAUUUGUAUUAGCUCGCCGGCCACAUCUGACACGCAUUUGACCAUUGCCGGCGUAGCGUGCACCAGGGUUCUCUGUGUUUUCCGAAGUACAGUGUAACUUUCACGCCUCAGUUUGUCGAUUGGACCCUUAAUUCGGGCUCACAAGCACCCUUUGGACGUGCACAGCUUGUGUGCGAUGCACUUUACUCCGCACUCAGGCUUAUCUCAAGCCUUCGUUUUCGAAAGCAACGACCGACUUGAGGUGUCGGGUCAUUUCCUGGUUUUUGCGAUGCGCGCCGGGGCCUUUCUCCGAGGCAGCUUGAUUUGAAUGUGGCGUGGUGUGCCGGGGUGAAGAGGACACGGCUAACACUGUUGACAGUCUGCUGACAUCCAUAUCUGCUGUGUUCUACUGCUCCCCUCCCUACGAACCCAGCAACCCACUCAUCUCUGCUGCAAACACCCCCCCCCCCCCCCCCCCCCCUUCUCUGCAGGAGACUGGCCUGUCAGGUCGGUGAUGACUGCAGGGAGAACCGGAGUUAGCCCCCCACCUUCUCCACCCCGCCCCCCACAUCCCCUUCCCAGUAUGAGGACGCUCCGUGCAGGCUGUCUGCCAUGUCACCCCCCCUAGGCUAUUUUGAACUGCCUCGCUGCACCUUAGAAAUGAACUGAAACCUUCUAAACUUAAAUUCCAUGUGAUUAUGCAAUUUCAAUGUCCCUUGUAGAGCUAGAUUGGUUAGCGGUUAGCUUUUUUUGAAAUACAAAGGUUGUCAACCCCAAAUUCCUUUAAAACGUUUAAACCUGUUUAGCAACUGUUUGUGUGUUGUACCUCACUUGUUCGAAAUUACUUAGGCAUGUUAAUAAUUUAAAAGUGUUACUACAAGCUUGUUAGACAUUUUGACACCGCGGUCACAUUCCACUGAGGCCUUUUCAUUUGUCCGUUAUAUUUUUCGUUCUACAGAAAUGUACGCCUUCUUUUGAAUGAUUAUGUUGAGGAAAUAUUGCCUUUUAACAUGUGUUUAGAGUGUGUUAGUGGCCGAGAACGCAAGCUAGACCUUUGUUUUAAUCUCAACAUGAUUUUUUCUUUUGUCACUGGCUUAGAGCCACAUGUAUUUUUGGACGUGCUUUGCUCUCACAGAAACCAUCUGAAGUGGAGCACAUUGAAGAAAGGUUUAAAGUUGGUGUAAAGUUAUUGGAUGCCAAAGUCUGCACCACUAAACGAAGGCACUGCAGAGCAAAUGACAAAUAUCGACCUGAAAAACACCAAUCAAAAGACCAGUGGUAAAGAAUUGCUGCCCGUGUGAACAUGGCCAACUGUGAACAAAGACCACUAAAUCUGACCACAACUGGGAUUGUCCUCUUUGUGCGCGCUCAUGUCUCAGUACCCAGCGCACCAACCCUACUCAUUCCUCUGAAACACGACACAUCAGAGAUGUUCAGACCAGGCAUGGCCGUGUCUUGCCGUCAGCUGUGUGGCUAAUGAUUUGCAGGUGGGCCUCAAAUACAGCUAAUGACAGCUGCCCUUUUAGAGGAGUACAAAGUCCAGUGCCCUCAGGGAGACCUUGUCCAAAAAAUCACAGGCCCAAAGGUAGAAAAACAUAGGUGUUGUACUCCCUUUAUUUCAAGACACCAUGAAGAACUGUGCCGCGGUGGGAUCCUUAGGGAAUUUACUGACGCAAGCAUCAGCAAAUAAAGGAAAUAAAUACCAGCCAAGAGGCAAAACUAGCAGAUGUUUUCUGUACUUCCCAUUCAUUCUGUGUCAUUCUGGUAAGUGGUGAAGAAAAUAACACAUCGAUUAUGAAAAACAUAUGAUGGUAAAUGUAGGAACUCUUGAGACUGCUUUGACACAAGUAGCCCAAUUACGAUAUAUUUUCCCACUAACUGGUCUUUUAACCGCCAUUUUCAGAUAAUUAAAUGGAGCCUUAUUAACAGUGUUAUUACGGCUGAGUUUACAGAAGCAGCAAUUUUUUUUUCUUCAAAUCUUUUUUUAUUUAAAA